GUCUCUAGGGGCAUUAUAGGCGUGGCUUCUGUGUCACGCGUGUGUUAGUAGGUGGC
Molecule: small nucleolar RNA, 56 nt
Filed under: Meriones unguiculatus (Mongolian gerbil)
Lineage: Eukaryota; Metazoa; Chordata; Mammalia; Rodentia; Muridae
Description: Small nucleolar RNA SNORA17 (ENSMUGG00000022900.1)
Rfam family: Small nucleolar RNA SNORA17
About the family: snoRNA ACA 17 belongs to the H/ACA family of snoRNAs and is predicted to guide pseudouridylation of the 28S rRNA at positions U4659 and U4598. It shares the same host gene together with ACA43.
Source: RNAcentral